RNAcentral lists this ribosomal RNA (460 nucleotides) under uncultured bacterium. RNAcentral describes it as "partial 16S ribosomal RNA". It matches the Rfam family "Bacterial small subunit ribosomal RNA", at positions 338 to 795 of the family's 1533-position model. The record is from RNAcentral.
CCUACGGGUGGCAGCAGUGAGGAAUAUUGGUCAAUGGACGAGAGUCUGAACCAGCCAAGUAGCGUGAAGGAUGACUGCCCUAUGGGUUGUAAACUUCUUUUAUAUGGGAAUAAAAUGUUCCAAGUGUGGGAUUUUGUAUGUACCAUAUGAAUAAGGAUCGGCUAACUCUGCGUCAGCAGCCGCGGUAAUACGGAGGAUCCGAACGUUAUCCGGUUUUAGUGGGUUUAAAGGUAACGUAGGUGGAUUCUUAAGUCAGUUGAGAAAGUUUGCGGCUCAACCGUAAGAUUGCAGUUGAAACUGGCAGUCUUGAGUACAGUAGAGGUGGGCGGAAUUCGUGGUGUAGCGGUGAAAUGCUUAGAUAUCAGGAGGAACACCGAUAGCGAAGGCAGCUCACUGGACUGCAACUGACACUGAGGCUCGAAAGUGUGGGUAUCAAACAGGAUUAGAUACCCUAGUAGUC